Molecule: ribosomal RNA, 800 nt
Filed under: uncultured bacterium
Lineage: Bacteria
Description: bacterial SSU rRNA
Rfam family: Bacterial small subunit ribosomal RNA
Source: RNAcentral
AGAGUUUGAUCCUGGCUCAGGAUGAACGCUGGCGGCGUGCUUAACACAUGCAAGUCGAACGAAGCACUUGAUAUUGAUUCUUCGGAUGACUUCUUUUGUGACUUAGUGGCGGACGGGUGAGUAACGCGUGGGUAACCUGCCUCACACAGGGGGAUAACAGUUAAAAAUGACUGCUAAUACCGCAUAACCCGAUAAGAUCCCAUGAUCCAGACGGAAAAGAUUUAUCGGUGUGAGAUGGACCCGCGUCUGAUUAGCUAGUUGGUGAGGUAACGGCCCACCAAGGCGACGAUCAGUAGCCGGCCUGAGAGGGUGAACGGCCACAUUGGGACUGAGACACGGCCCAAACUCCUACGGGAGGCGGCAGUGGGGAAUAUUGCACAAUGGAGGAAAACCCUGAUGCAGCGACGCCGCGUGAGUGAAGAAGUAUUUCGGUAUGUAAAGCUCUAUCAGCAGGGAAGAAAAUGACGGUACCUGACUAAGAAGCCCCGGCUAACUACGUGCCAGCAGCCGCGGUAAUACGUAGGGGGCAAGCGUUAUCCGGAUUUACUGGGUGUAAAGGGAGCGUAGACGGUCAAGCAAGUCAGAAGUGAAAGCCUGGGGCUCAACCCCGGGGCUGCUUUUGAAACUGUUUGACUGGAGUGUUGGAGAGGUAAGCGGAAUUCCUAGUGUAGCGGUGAAAUGCGUAGAUAUUAGGAGGAACACCAGUGGCGAAGGCGGCUUACUGGACAGUAACUGACGUUGAGGCUCGAAAGCGUGGGGAGCAAACAGGAUUAGAUACCCUGGUAGUCCACGCCGUAAAC